UACGGAGGGUGCAAGCGUUAAUCGGAAUUACUGGGCGUAAAGCGUGCGCAGGCGGUUUGUUAAGUCCGUUGUGAAAGCCCCGGGCUCAACCUGGGAAUUGCAUUUGAGACUGCUCUGCUCGGGUGCGGAAGAGGGAAGCGGAAUUUCCGGUGUAGCGGUGAAAUGCGUAGAUAUCGGAAGGAACACCAGUGGCGAAAGCGGCUUCCUGGUCCGACACCGACGUUCAGGCACGAAAGCGUGGGGAGCAAACAGG
RNAcentral lists this ribosomal RNA (253 nucleotides) under uncultured bacterium. Its description in RNAcentral is "partial 16S ribosomal RNA". It matches the Rfam family "Bacterial small subunit ribosomal RNA", at positions 524 to 776 of the family's 1533-position model. The record is from RNAcentral.